GAAACGGUAGCUAAUACCGCAUAACGUCGCAAGACCAAAGAGGGGGACCUUCGGGCCUCUUGCCAUCGGAUGUGCCCAGAUGGGAUUAGCUAGUAGGUGGGGUAACGGCUCACCUAGGCGACGAUCCCUAGCUGGUCUGAGAGGAUGACCAGCCACACUGGAACUGAGACACGGUCCAGACUCCUACGGGAGGCAGCAGUGGGGAAUAUUGCACAAUGGGCGCAAGCCUGAUGCAGCCAUGCCGCGUGUAUGAAGAAGGCCUUCGGGUUGUAAAGU
This 276-nucleotide ribosomal RNA is filed under the name Citrobacter freundii. RNAcentral describes it as "partial 16S ribosomal RNA". It matches the Rfam family "Bacterial small subunit ribosomal RNA", at positions 153 to 431 of the family's 1533-position model. Lineage: Bacteria; Pseudomonadati; Pseudomonadota; Gammaproteobacteria; Enterobacterales; Enterobacteriaceae. The record is from RNAcentral.